This 465-nucleotide ribosomal RNA is filed under the name uncultured bacterium. Its description in RNAcentral is "bacterial SSU rRNA". It matches the Rfam family "Bacterial small subunit ribosomal RNA", at positions 339 to 796 of the family's 1533-position model. The record is from RNAcentral.
CUACGGGAGGCAGCAGUGGGGAAUCUUCCGCAAUGGACGAAAGUCUGACGGAGCAACGCCGCGUGAGUGAUGACGGCCUUCGGGUUGUAAAGCUCUGUUAAUCGGGACGAAAGAGCCUUGUGUGAAUAAUGCGAGGAAGUGACGGUACCGGAAUAGAAAGCCACGGCUAACUACGUGCCAGCAGCCGCGGUAAUACGUAGGUGGCAAGCGUUGUCCGGAAUUAUUGGGCGUAAAGCGCGCGCAGGCGGAUGCGUAAGUCUAUCUUAAAAGUGCGGGGCUUAACCCCGUGAGGGGAUGGAAACUGGGCAUCUAGAGUAUCGGAGAGGAAAGCGGAAUUCCUAGUGUAGCGGUGAAAUGCGUAGAUAUUAGGAAGAACACCAGUGGCGAAGGCGGCUUUCUGGACGACAACUGACGCUGAGGCGCGAAAGCCAGGGGAGCGAACGGGAUUAGAAACCCUUGUAGUCC